AGAUGUGAGGGUGAUCUGGCUGUGACAUCUGUCAUUCUGUUGAUGACCAGGAUUGAUUCAGCUCAUCUGGCUGGCUAGGUGGAUGUCCCCUUCCUCCCUCAUUGCUCCAUGUGUCCCUCCGGCCUUCCCCAAAUAGAGGAGGGCCAGUCUUCAGUCAGAGUUCUUUGAGUAGCUGCACUCCCCUGCUAGAACCUCAAACAAGCUUUCAAGAAGAGCCACUGUGCACUUGCUAUAAUCUCAGCUUACAUGUAACCCAUGUCUCAACCCAGGAAGUAGAUGGCUUUGUUAACAU
RNAcentral lists this small nuclear RNA (292 nucleotides) under Jaculus jaculus (lesser Egyptian jerboa). RNAcentral describes it as "7SK RNA (ENSJJAG00000004281.1)". It matches the Rfam family "7SK RNA". From Rfam's summary of the family: 7SK was discovered as an abundant small nuclear RNA in the mid-70s but a possible function has only recently been suggested. Two independent studies have found that 7SK RNA binds the CDK9/cyclin T complex (known as elongation factor P-TEFb). The record is from Rfam by way of RNAcentral. Lineage: Eukaryota; Metazoa; Chordata; Mammalia; Rodentia; Dipodidae.